RNAcentral lists this long non-coding RNA (2482 nucleotides) under Sus scrofa (pig). Its description in RNAcentral is "lncRNA (ENSSSCG00025032003.1)". The record is from RNAcentral. Lineage: Eukaryota; Metazoa; Chordata; Mammalia; Artiodactyla; Suidae.
AUGGAAGCAGGGCUCAGAAGUCAAGAUGAAUUUGGGUCAUUUAUUUACUGAACAUAGGUUUUUAAUACCACUGUCCAAUAUUAUGGAUACAAUAAUAAUACUUGAGGUGAAAUGGAAGGAACCUAUUAAUGACUGUUUACCUCAGGCUACAAGGGUAAUGCUUGAAACUCCUUGAGAUUUGAUCCUGGGAAAUAAAUGUAGGGGCAUUCAUCUCAGUGGGGUGUGGGGACACUAGAAGAAGGGAUGAGUUGGUAUUUGGAAGAUCCAAGUUGAAAUCUCAGACUUUUGGCUGCCAAUAACUGACAUCGAGCAACAAACUUUCCACACCUCCUGUUUCCUGGGAACUCAGUUUGCUUAUUGGAAAGAUAAGGGAAAUAAUGCAGCACCAUGGUUAGGAAUGUGGGCUCAGAUGCAGGGUGCCUGGGUUCAAAUCCCAGUUCCAGAACAUUCUAAUUGUGUGUCUCUAGGCACAUGAAUUGAGCUUUCUGUGUGUUAUCUGUAAAAAUGUGGAUAAAACAGUACUUAGCACAUAGGAUCAUUGUGAAGGGUUAGCUGAGUUAGAACAUGUACCAUCUUAGAAUAAUGACUUGUCCAUGGUAAGGACUCCAUAACCAGUCCUUGGUGUUACUCUUACCAUUUAAUGCAAAGAAAGUUUCUUUCAGUUUAUGAUAUUCCAUUUAGCAUUGCAUGGUGCUCUCCCCUCCCCCUCUUUUUCUUCCUAAGACCUGAAAUAAAGCUAAAAAGGUGAUGUGCUACAGUCACCAGCUGGGAGAUCGAGCACCUUGAGUCAUUUCACAUGUAUCACUUCACUUUAAAUGAGAAGUUCAUGUGCCUUGAUUGACAUUUACCCGACAAAGAGAACAUCUCUCAAAAAGUGCAUGGUUUCAUGGCAUGUUUUAAAAGAAUGGAGGUGCAGGAAAGGUGGCAGGGGUGUUUUUUUUUUUAUAAGGAUGAUAUUAAGAUUUAUCUGUUUAAAAGGAAAUAAAACCCUAGAAUUCCCUCAUAGUCAGAGUACUGACAAUUUUCACUUAAGACAGUCUCCACAGUAAUUGUUUCCCUUCUAGUAAAGAAGGAGGGAAGAAAAGAGGAAGGAAGGAAGAGAAGGAACUAAAAAAGAAGGGAAGGAAGAGAGGAAGGAGGGUGGUGGGGAGGAGAAAGAAAGGGAUGGAGGGAACAAAGUAUUAAGUGUUUUACAAUGCACCAGCUGCUUUACAUGAAGUUUUUAAAUAAAUUUAAAAAAAAUGCAAGGAUGGGUAGCACCAUUUUUAAUAUAUGAGAACACUAAUAGUUAAAAAUGGUGCAUUUAUUUGCACAAGGUCACCCCACCAGUAAGAAGAUGUUGAGUCAAAUUUGAACUUGAGUCUACGGUCUUUCACUGCCAACCCAUUGUUCUUGGAUGUGUCAACAAAAGGAUUCACAAAAUGUAUGAAGGAAAAGGGUCAAUAAAGAUGACAAAGGCUCUAUCCAAGAGGCUUAGAACAAUGAAAGGAAAAUAAGUCCUAGGCCAGAAUGGUGUUCAGAGAAGGAAAAUAAAAAUGUCUUUCUUAUUUUCUUAUGCCUUCCCAAGUACCACCCCUUCCAACUCCCUGACCUUCAGCACACUUAUGCCUCUCUUACAGCACAUCAGUUUCCACUAUCCCUGUACUAGGGAAUCACCAAAAUGUAUUAAGUCAAAUGACACAGUUUGAUACCGCUAUGGGCAUGAGCAUCCUGGACACUGACUUCCUACCAUGGACAGAGCUCAUUUCAUCAUACCUUGCUGUUAACUGGUGAAAGGCCAGAAGCCCUCCUCAUAGGAGAACCUUCCUCCCUCAGUCAAUAUUGAGGAACUGUGGCAUAGAGAGUAUGGGAAAAAAAUCAAUUUAGUUUAUCAAUCAAAGUAACCUAGAGCAACAUGGAGGAGUAGGAGGGAAGAACAGUGUGAUGAAUUUUAUUUUCAUGUUUCAUCAAAUUUGCUGGCUGAAUGGUUAGCAUUCACUUCUCCUGCCCUCUUGCUUAGACCACAGAAUAUGAAGACAAGCGCAGCGAUCUCCCAGGAGCCUCCAAAAGCAACUAAUUCCCUCCCUAUAUCCUCUACCUCUUCCCCUUUUUCUCACUGUAUUACUAAUUUUAAUAACCCUUCCUAGCAGAUGUUGACACUGCAGAAGUUGCAUGUUUAUUAGAACUUAAAUGGUUUGAAUUAAAAAAGAGCAUUUAACUGGUUACAUAUUUCUCCCUGGAAAUGAUACCUUGACCAAAGCAGUAGAAAAAUCACUCCUCAUUGAACAUCACCAUAGAAGGUCACCACCACAUCAUGGUCUAAUUUGUCUGCUCAGGCUGCCAUAACAAAUACCAUAGACUAGGUGGCUGAAACAACAGAAAUGCAUUUCCUCGUAAUUCUGGAGAAUGGCAAGACCAAGAUCAAUGUUCUGGCAGGGUUUGUUUUCUGGUUAGAGAUCUCUUCCUAGCCUGUAAACAGCCACUUUUUGCUGUAUGUUCAGAU